RNAcentral lists this ribosomal RNA (931 nucleotides) under Symbiodinium sp. clade D. Its description in RNAcentral is "partial Bacterial small subunit ribosomal RNA". It matches the Rfam family "Bacterial small subunit ribosomal RNA", at positions 11 to 954 of the family's 1533-position model. The record is from RNAcentral. Lineage: Eukaryota; Dinophyceae; Suessiales; Symbiodiniaceae.
GUUUGAUCCUGGCUCAGGAUGAACGCUAGCGGCAGGCCUAAUACAUGCAAGUCGAGGGGCAGCACGGUUUUCGGACUGGUGGCGACCGGCGCACGGGUGCGUAACGCGUAUGCAACCUACCCUAUACAGGGGGAUAGCCCAGAGAAAUUUGGAUUAAUACCCCAUAGUACCAUUUGAGGGCAUCUGAGGAUGGUUAAAGAUUUAUUGGUAUAGGAUGGGCAUGCGUUAGAUUAGUUAGUUGGUGAGGUAACGGCUCACCAAGGCGACGAUCUAUAGGGGUUCUGAGAGGAUGAUCCCCCACACUGGCACUGAGAUACGGGCCAGACUCCUACGGGAGGCAGCAGUAGGGAAUUUUCCGCAAUGGGCGAAAGCCUGACGGAGCAAUCUCGCGUGAGGGAUGACGGCCUAUGGGUUGUAAACCUCUUUUUUCAGGGAGGAACAAAAUGACGUGUACCUGAAGAAUAAGCAUCGGCUAACUCCGUGCCAGCAGCCGCGGUAAUACGGAGGGUGCAAGCGUUGUCCGGAUUUAUUGGGUUUAAAGGGUGCGUAGGCGGAUCUUUAAGUCUGUGGUGAAAGCCCAUCGCUUAACGAUGGAACUGCCAUGGAUACUGGGGAUCUUGAAUUCAGUUGAGGUAGGCGGAAUUGAUGGUGUAGCGGUGAAAUGCAUAGAUACCAUCAGGAACACCGAUUGCGAAGGCAGCUUACUGGGCUUGAAUUGACGCUGAUGCACGAAAGCGUGGGGAGCGAACAGGAUUAGAUACCCUGGUAGUCCACGCCGUAAACGAUGUCAACUAGCCGUUGGAGAUCUUAGUAUCUUUAGUGGCGUAGCUAACGCGCUAAGUUGACCGCCUGGGGAGUACGGUCGCAAGAUUAAAACUCAAAGGAAUUGACGGGGGCUCACACAAGCGGUGGAGCAUGUGGCUUAAUUCGA